Molecule: ribosomal RNA, 481 nt
Filed under: uncultured bacterium
Lineage: Bacteria
Description: partial 16S ribosomal RNA
Rfam family: Bacterial small subunit ribosomal RNA
Source: RNAcentral
AUUGAACGCUGGCGGCAUGUUUUACACAUGCAAGUCGAACGGUAACAGCACUUCGGUGGCUGACGAGUGGCGAACGGGUGAGUAAUACAUCGGAACGUGCCUAGUAGUGGGGGAUAACUACUCGAAAGAGUAGCUAAUACCGCAUGAGAUCUAAGGAUGAAAGCAGGGGACCUUCGGGCCUUGCGCUACUAGAGCGGCUGAUGGCAGAUUAGGUAGUUGGUGGGAUAAAAGCUUACCAAGCCGACGAUCUGUAGCUGGUCUGAGAGGACGACCAGCCACACUGGGACUGAGACACGGCCCAGACUCCUACGGGAGGCAGCAGUGGGGAAUUUUGGACAAUGGGCGCAAGCCUGAUCCAGCAAUGCCGCGUGCAGGAUGAAGGCCUUCGGGUUGUAAACUGCUUUUGUACGGAACGAAAAGCCCUCUUCUAAUACAGGAGGGUCAUGACGGUACCGUAAGAAUAAGCACCGGCUAACUACGU